UUUAUGGAGAGUUUGAUCCUGGCUCAGGAUGAACGCUGGCGGCGUGCCUAAUACAUGCAAGUCGAGCGAACAGACGAGGAGCUUGCUCCUCUGAUGUUAGCGGCGGACGGGUGAGUAACACGUGGAUAACCUACCUAUAAGACUGGGAUAACUUCGGGAAACCGGAGCUAAUACCGGAUAACAUGUUAAACCGCAUGGUUCAACAGUGAAAGACGGUCUUGCUGUCACUUAUAGAUGGAUCCGCGCCGCAUUAGCUAGUUGGUAAGGUAACGGCUUACCAAGGCAACGAUGCGUAGCCGACCUGAGAGG
RNAcentral lists this ribosomal RNA (309 nucleotides) under Staphylococcus capitis. RNAcentral's name for it is "bacterial SSU rRNA". It matches the Rfam family "Bacterial small subunit ribosomal RNA", at positions 1 to 299 of the family's 1533-position model. The record is from RNAcentral. Lineage: Bacteria; Bacillati; Bacillota; Bacilli; Caryophanales; Staphylococcaceae.